This 692-nucleotide long non-coding RNA is filed under the name Vigna radiata. Its description in RNAcentral is "long non-coding RNA (VRAD_LNC018564)". Lineage: Eukaryota; Viridiplantae; Streptophyta; Magnoliopsida; Fabales; Fabaceae. The record is from RNAcentral.
AUCAGAGUAACAUGCAGCAGUAGAAUCAUAGUCAUAGGCACAGGCAGAAUAAGCAGUAUCCACAAAAUCAAAAUAGGCAGACAUGUAGAAAGAAGGGGGAAAAGAAGAAUGCAAUGAAAAUACGAAACUAAAGCUAUCUAAAUGCAACAGACAUGACACCACACACAAAACGGAACAACACACUCACAACACGAGACAAAACACAACACACACAAACACAACAAAAGACCUAAAACCGAACCCGUUGGUCCCCGGCAACAGCGCCAAAAUUUGAUGGGUGUCGCACCCCAUGCAAAUUUAAUAUGCAUAAAGAAUGCAGUAUAGACUAGGAAGUGACUCCUAGGUCGUCUCUCAAGGACCAACUACGGUUCAGAAAUUAGGUCUAACACGAAGUGGGGGGUUUUGUGAAAAUGUUUGUGACUGCCGAUGAAGUAAAUUAAGACACGAAUGCAAACAGAGAUGCAAACACAGAUGUAAAAACUAGUUCAAAGACAGAAUGAAAAUGGUCGGUCAUUAACUCAAUUACUAUGCUUCCAAUCCCAGAUUAAAGACAAGUACACACUACUCUAGUCUAAAUCCAACACAAAUCACCCAACUAAGCGAAGGGUAAUUCGGUCUUCAAAAUUGCAGACUAAGUGAAUGCAAUGCACAAAUCUCAUAAGUCAUGCACCAUACAGUCUAAUCAACUAAGC